UGCAAAGGAAUGUGAAAUAGAUGCUGGAAAAAGUGUGCUGGCAGAUGGAGCUGGUGCCCGCUAAGUUCGUAGAGGAAAGUGACGAAGAUCCUAAAGCACCGCCUGACUAUCAUAGGAGUUGGGAAUAGGUCAUGUCACUUUGUAGUUUGUGUUUAGCGUGCUGAACGCACAGUUUGUCUGUUUAUUUAUUUAUUUUUUUUUUGUGUUUAAGGUUUAUUUGUUUUCAUGUAUGUGUGAUAAUUUUGGUAUACGAACAUGUGUUGUUCGUAUAUUUAGUGAUUAAAUUAUAUAAAUAAUGAAUUAUAGUAAAAUCCCUUUUGUCUCCUUGUUUGGGAUUCACUAUUUGUGGACAAGUAAUCUGUUUGAUGAUUAUGAAAUUAUUGUGGAUCUAUCUAUUGUUGAGGUAUUUGUAAAUGAUUGCAAAAAGAAUUG
RNAcentral lists this long non-coding RNA (432 nucleotides) under Ananas comosus (pineapple). Its description in RNAcentral is "long non-coding RNA (ACOM_LNC033066)". The record is from RNAcentral. Lineage: Eukaryota; Viridiplantae; Streptophyta; Magnoliopsida; Poales; Bromeliaceae.